Molecule: ribosomal RNA, 649 nt
Filed under: uncultured archaeon
Lineage: Archaea
Description: bacterial SSU rRNA
Rfam family: Archaeal small subunit ribosomal RNA
Source: RNAcentral
GUUGUGGGAGCAAGAGCCCGGAGAUGGAUUCUGAGACAUGAAUCCAGGCCCUACGGGGCGCAGCAGGCGCGAAAACUUUACAAUGCGGGGAACCGCGAUAAGGGGACACCGAGUGCCAGCAUCCUAUGUUGGCUGUCCAUAUGUCUAAAUCACAUGUGUUAGCAAGGGCCGGGCAAGACCGGUGCCAGCCGCCGCGGUAACACCGGCGGCCCGAGUGGUGGCCACUAUUAUUGGGUCUAAAGGGUCCGUAGCCGGUUUGGUCAGUCUUCCGGGAAAUCUGACGGCUCAACCGUUAGGCUUUCGGGGGAUACUACCAGGCUUGGGACCGGGAGAGGUAAGAGGUACUACGGGGGUAGGAGUGAAAUCUUGUAAUCCCUGUGGGACCACCGGUGGCGAAGGCGUCUUACCAGAACGGGUCCGACGGUGAGGGACGAAAGCUGGGGGCACGAACCGGAUUAGAUACCCGGGUAGUCCCAGCUGUAAACUAUGCUCGCUAGGUGUCAGGGACGGUGCGACCGUUUCUGGUGCCGCAGGGAAGCCGUGAAGCGAGCCACCUGGGAAGUACGGUCGUAAGGCUGAAACUUAAAGGAAUUGGCGGGGGAGCACUACAACGGGUGGAGCCUGCGGUUUAAUUGGAUUCAACGCCGGG